AGAACUGCCUGCCUGGCUUCCGCUUUGUGUUGAACCCAGGGUAGCUAUGCCUGGGCUGUCAGAUGGCUACAUUCCACUUGUGGCUCAGUGGCCGCUGGUCCUAGACUUGUAGCCCUGCCUCUUCCCACGUGACCAGUCUCACCGGGCCAAGGCUAGAGCUAUGAGAGGAGGUGGGGAGCAACUGCUGAAAUAGGGAGGAUUACCAGGCUCAUGAUCGCUAGGGCUACAGCUUUAAGGAGACCUGUGUCUGGAGCUGCUGCAUGUAGGGACCCUCAGCCUGUUCUCCUGUUUCCUAAGGAAAUGCCCAAGGACCUUUACUACUACUCUUGGAGAGGCAGGAUAGGGGAGGGCAGCCUUAAGGCUGAUUGCCUGGGUUCAAAGUCUGGGCUUCCUGCUUGCUGGCUGUGCAUGUGUAACUUUAGGAUGCUGCACUGAGUUUGUUACCUCUCCUCAGUAUCUUCCCAUCUCUGCUGGUUCCAGUCUUUGUCUCUCAGGACUCGGGACUUGUGAAGAGUACUCGGCAGGCAUGCUGUGGAAUGUUUCUCAACUUGAGUUUGAUGUUUUUCAUUUGAUUAGACUGAAGUUAUGGAUUUGGGGAAAGAAUAUCACAAUGUCAUAUGCCUUCUCAUUUGGGGAUACAUGGUAGAGAUGUGUUUUAUCGCAGGUGACAUCAAUCUUGAUCACCUGGCUGAAGUGGUAUCUACCAGUUUCUCCAAAGUAAAGUUACUCAUUUUUCCUUUCCACACACAUAGUGUUACAGGAUUGCCGCGUUCUUGUCUCACGGAAUUGAAGAAUGAAUCUUAAGGACACAAAAGGGUGAAAUGAAGUGAGUUUGUUAAGUGAAGGGGGGAGGGAAACAGAAAAGAGAAAAAAAGUUCUCUAGAGUGAGAGGGGUCUCGAAUGGGUUGCCACUGUGAGCUUUCACUGGCAGUCUUUUUGAGAACUGACUAGGAAACUUAAAUCUUCUUGAUGUCUCUACCACUGAGCACUAUGUUUACUUUUUCUUUGAAGCUUUGUAAUUUUCAGUGGUCCAGCUGUAGCUGUUAUAUAGAUAUCUUGUCUCUGAUAAAUGAGACAAACGAGGUAGUCUCAUUAAUCUCAUUAUAUUCACUUAUCUCUGGUUUUGUAUGCCUUAACAUUUUCCACAUCUGGGAUUUUUAUGAACCUGAAUUCCUAGCCCCCUGUGUGAGGCUAGUCAUGUAGCUGCCUACCUAUCUCUCCCCAGCUAGCUCCAGCUGUCCCUUACUAAGUAAGAUACAUAUUUUUUUUUUCUUAAGUAGGCUCCAUGUCCAGUGUGGAGCCCAACAUGGGGCUUGAACUCAUGGUCCUGAGAUCAAUACCUAAGUUGAGAUCAAGGGUUGGUGCCCCCACAUAGAAUAUUUUAAAUCUGUAUGAGCACCUUGCAGGUUUGAUUAGCAUUAUUUUACAUGAGGAAACUUGAGACAUCUGCUGUAAUUUUACAGUGAAGUCAUGGAAAGCUCACAGAACUUUAGAAAUUAUCUCUUCUUCAACAAAUGGGGAAGCCAAGGCCUGGAGAAAUUAAAUGACAUGGCCAAGAUCAGUCAGCUACAGAACCAAGCUAUACCCCAGGUUUUCUGAUUUCUAGGGAGGGACUUGAAUGUGUAACUAGGACUCCAAUAAUGUGAGCUAGGCUUAAGAUCUCUGGAUCCUUGCAUAUAAGUAGUGAGGGCUCCCCUUCCCUUAGCUCUGACUAGAGAGGAAUCUAAUACCACAGCCCUGCUGGAAACAACUGUCAAGAAGCAGCUGUCGAAUUCUGGCUGGCCUUUCUGUGGCACUGUAGUCUUUUGCGAGGCUGGUCAUAAGACAGGCAGAUCGGAUAUCAGAUGCCAUCCUUUAUUUCUCCUAGAAUGCUAAUUAUAUGGCCUCCACUGUCUGUGGUUAAUAUGGUAAUCUGUUUCUAGUGGAGUUGCUGGUGGCUUUCUAUGUCCUGGGCUGAGAAGUUAUUUUAGUCUGGAGUGCUGCCCCUGGAAUUUAUAUGCAAGGUAUUCAGAAGGUUUGAUAGGUGGAAAUCUUACGAGACCAGUGCUCUAACUCCUGAGCUACGGAGCCAGAUAUGUGGAAAUCUUAAAAGCAGAGUGGAAAGGUUGAUAACUGUCAUAGGAAUUUCAUGUCCCAGAAGGCUGUUAGGAUGGUAAAUUAUGGGUGAAAAACCAUAAAGCUCCAGGUAUAUCUAUUUUAACUGUGUUUCCACUGCCUAUCAUUAUGAUAAUCCAAUACGGAGAGAGGUAUAAAAAAGUGAAAGAACCCUGCCCACAGACCAAACUGCAGAAUUGCAGUCUUCUCUAUGGCUCUGGUGAUCAGAUUCACUGUUUUGUUGUUGUUGUUUAAGGUUUUUAUUUAUUCAUUUGAGAGAGAAAGAGAGUGCACGAGCGUUCGAGUGGAGGGGAGAGGCGUAGGGAGAGGGAGAAGCAGACUCCCCACUGAGCAGGGAGCCCCACACAGGCUGAUACCAGGACCUGGAGAUCAGGACCUGAGCUGAAGGCAGACACUUAGCUGACUGAGCCAUGCAGGCAUCCCAGGAUUCACUGGUUUUAGUUGACCAGGACACAGGGCUCAGCACAACUUUAAGACAAACUCUUGGCGACAAUCUGUACUUUAUUCUCAAGGGAGCCUUUAGGAGAAUGGCCUGAUCUGAUAUUGGCCCUGGUCGUGUUGACACAUGGGAGUUCACCUAUUCUGAAGUGAGCUGUGCCCAGAACAUAGUCCUAUCCAUCAAUCUCAAGUGCACCCAGCCUCCUUGGACAGAGAAUGUCUUGGUAUCUAGUCAAACUGGAACCAAAUCUUGGGAUCACUCUUAGGAACCGAUCAUUUCAGAUUUACCAGAGCCAGGAUCUUCUGGGUAACUCAGAUCUGGGAAGAGAAGGAUGGUGCUCAAGCCGGCCUUCCAAAUGCGUGAAGGACUUUCUCUGGCUCCUGUACGGGUCAUCUGCCCUAAAUAAAUGCCCCCAUCAACAUGUAAACAUGUAUUCUGUUUCUUAAUGUGAAGCCUCCUGAAGGCUCCUUGGUCAGCUCCUGUCGUCAGGUGAGACCUCCAUGGUGACACAGCUGCAAAGUGCUGCCAUGGCGUGGGUAUGGAGGGCCGGGGUGGGGCGGGGGGGGGGGGGGCUGGCUCUCAGAGUGUGACAACUCAAGGGCUUUGCAACUUGGUGUGCAUUAAAUUGAACACAACCCAAGUAAGUUGAAAACAAAGACCUUUUCAUUACUUGUUACAGUAAGGAGACAGGAAGAUAGCUCUCAGAGUACUGUCUUCCUGUGGGGUUAGUACAAGAAGCCUUUAUUCGGUGUAUUAGGGGGCAGGGCAGGGAGCUUAUAUAUAUAUUAAGAAACUUAGAGAUAUUCUGUGCUUAGGCACUUUGGGUCAAUGGAGCAUGCCCAGCAGGUCAACAUGCUAGUGCCUACACUGUAUGUUCAAAAAAUGGCAGAAAACAGCCCAUAGGAGAUCUUAAUAUUAUAAUAAUAAGCUACACUUAACUUUAGGAGAAUUCAGGGGGGGCUUCUAUGGCAAGUCCUCAGCUCCAAACUGGCCUAAACUGGCUCACAUAAGAGGCAUAGCUGGAGAAACACCAAGCUGAGGAGUCUCCUUGGCGGGCUGCUGGCUCUGCAAGACAAAACACAUUACUUCCCUGUUUUUUUCCUUCACCCUCUUCCCUUCUGCUGAUGGCUUUCAGCCCUCAGAUCUGAGUAAUUCCCCUUUGCAUCCCAGCCAAAAAGAGGAUGGGAUUUGUAUUCCUGAAGUAGAGGACUUGGCAUGGCCCUGCGCUGCUCAGGUGAAGAAGACCUUAUCUGAGGAACAUUCUAAAGUGGUCUGCAGUAUUAGAAACAAGAGUGAAGAACAGGAAGAUGGAGACGAUAAGGAAGAAGGUUCAUAGAGUGAUUGAAAAAUACUUCAGGGAAAUUCCAGACCAAGAUGGCAACAUUUAAGAGGCCCCUGAAUUUCCUUCCUUCCAUGGAUGCACUGAAUGUAAAGCUACAUGUGGAGCAAUUCCCUUUUAGCAAUACAGAAACUAGCUGAGUGACUCUUGUAUAUCGGGUGACUGAAGAAAUAGCCGUAUCAAAUCAGGUAGGAAAGGCUGAAACACGGUAACUUCCACCCCCACCAGGACAGUGCUAUACUGUUGGGAGGGGAACUCCCAACUCCCAACUUCUCUCUGAGAAGAGUGAAAAGUUUGGACAACACUUCUGUUGCCCCAGUUUUAAGGCCCCCAUCUGAGGUAUGGACCCCAACCAAUCAGUAAUUACUUUAAGUGUAUUUGAACUAAAUUCUCCAAUCAAUAGAGAUAGAGUUGAUGAAUGGUUACAAAGUCAAGACCCAACUAUAUGUUGCCUAUAAGAGACCCACUUCAGCUUUAAGGACGCAUACAGACUGAAAGUGAAGGUAUGGAAAAUGAUAUUCCAUAGAAAUGGAGACCAGAAAAAAAAAAAAAAGCAGGGAUAGCUAAUAUUUAUAACAGACAAAACAGACUUUA
Long non-coding RNA from Lutra lutra (Eurasian river otter), 4487 nucleotides. RefSeq lists it as uncharacterized. NCBI's taxonomy places the organism in Eukaryota, Metazoa, Chordata, Mammalia, Carnivora, Mustelidae. The record is from RefSeq and is a predicted model, not a curated record. The transcript is spliced from 3 exons.